CGCCCAUUAAACUAUUGUAAUAGUUUUAAGAUUAAUCAGUAUAAAAUCUGAGGUUUUCUUAAAUAUUUUUACUAUGAAAACAAAGGCAAUCGUACUCAUGCUGUGUCUCCAUUCCGUCUUCACCAAAAUCUGGAAAUCAACUAAUAGGGAUGUACCGAGGGUCCAUAGACAAGAAUUGUCAUACGUUACGUUACCUGACAAGGACUUCUGUCAAUUUAUGAGAAAAAGCGGGGGAGACUUUCUGGUGCUGCCAUGGUGGCAAUACUACUGCGAUGAAGAACAUGACCAAGAAAUAGGAAAGAAGAAUGUCUACCUUCCGAUGUAUAAUUCAAUUGUGGAACGAAUUCAAUGGUAUCGCCGCCAUGGGAUUUUCAAACCUGCCGAUACUGAACUAAAGGAAACUAAAAGCAAAUUCCUAUAAUUUUUUUUCUUAUGACAUAACUCAAAUAAGAAAGCAAUAUUCUUGU
This is a long non-coding RNA of Pieris brassicae (large cabbage white), 467 nucleotides long. RefSeq lists it as uncharacterized. The record is from RefSeq and is a predicted model, not a curated record. Lineage: Eukaryota; Metazoa; Arthropoda; Insecta; Lepidoptera; Pieridae. The transcript has 2 exons.